CCUACGGGUGGCUGCAGUGGGGAAUAUUGGACAAUGGGGGGAACCCUGAUCUAGCCAUGCCGCGUGUGUGAAGAAGGCCCUCGGGUUGUAAAGCACUUUCAGUGAGGAAGAACGCCUGGUGGUUAAUACCCAUCAGGAAAGACAUCACUCACAGAAGAAGCACCGGCUAACUCCGUGCCAGCAGCCGCGGUAAUACGGAGGGUGCGAGCGUUAAUCGGAAUUACUGGGCGUAAAGCGCGCGUAGGUGGCUUGAUAAGCCGGUUGUGAAAGCCCCGGGCUCAACCUGGGUACGGCAUCCGGAACUGUCAAGCUAGAGUGCAGGAGAGGAAGGUAGAAUUCCCGGUGUAGCGGUGAAAUGCGUAGAGAUCGGGAGGAAUACCAGUGGCGAAGGCGGCCUUCUGGACUGACACUGACACUGAGGUGCGAAAGCGUGGGUAGCAAACAGGAUUAGAUACCCCAGUAGUC
RNAcentral lists this ribosomal RNA (465 nucleotides) under Vreelandella stevensii. RNAcentral's name for it is "partial 16S ribosomal RNA". It matches the Rfam family "Bacterial small subunit ribosomal RNA", at positions 338 to 795 of the family's 1533-position model. Lineage: Bacteria; Pseudomonadati; Pseudomonadota; Gammaproteobacteria; Oceanospirillales; Halomonadaceae. The record is from RNAcentral.